Non-coding RNA from Eptesicus fuscus (big brown bat), 85 nucleotides. NCBI's taxonomy places the organism in Eukaryota, Metazoa, Chordata, Mammalia, Chiroptera, Vespertilionidae. The record is from RefSeq and is marked provisional.
GAAUAUUCAGCAGCUUUUCAGGUGUGUCCUUUCAGGGUCUAGGUCUCCCUGAAAGGACACACCUGAAAAGCUGCUGAAUAUUCUA